AUUCAGCAGAUAAGGCUGUUCUGCAGAAUGCCAGCUUGGAGGUUCAUCUAGGGGUCAGCAGGUCCCCUCACAGGGAGCCAGGUUUGGGUAGAUGGACUGAAUGUGUUUCAGGAAAAGUUCGAUUGGAGUGGGGAGAACAUUGAAUAUGAAAGCAGUCUGCAGAGAAAGAUGGAGUGCACAACUGAGAGAGAAACACUGGAGUGCAGAUGGAUGAAUUGGAUUGAAAUACAAAGAAUGAACAGUAUGUAGGAGUUCCAGAUAGAAGGACAGGAAAAUGAAUGGACUUCAUUGCAGCCUGAGUCUCAGCUGGCUGCGGGGGUCCCCAGGAUAGAAUACAACAGACUCUCUUGUCUUUCUGACAAAACUCCAAUGGCGAGGAAUCAGCCUGAUCGACUGAAGGGAACAGAUAUAAAGCAGAGGACAGUCUUACACACAGCUGGUGACUGAUGAAUGUGAUCAUUACUGAACUGAGGCUACUGUAGACAUGGAGAGAGUUGUAUCUCUUUCAUAGUCAUCUGAUUUAGUCACAUGUCUCUCUGUGUUUCUUGAGAUAUAGCUAGCAUGGUGGAUUGGCAUCGCCAAGCAGUGAGGACUAAGAAAGUUUAAAUUUAUUCAUAUACAUUCAUCAUUAAAUACUGUACAUGUAUGCUCUUAGCGAACACAUUUUAACAAAGUGACACAAUAUAGUGCUCAAUCAUGUAC
This is a long non-coding RNA of Sinocyclocheilus rhinocerous, 702 nucleotides long. RefSeq lists it as uncharacterized. The transcript is spliced from 3 exons. The record is from RefSeq and is a predicted model, not a curated record. NCBI's taxonomy places the organism in Eukaryota, Metazoa, Chordata, Actinopteri, Cypriniformes, Cyprinidae.